AGUCCAAAGUGGGUGGUAAACUCCAUCCAAGGCUAAAUACUGGCGCGAGUUGCUCAUGUUGCAGUCCAAACCGUGCUUUGUGUACCUGGGUGAUACCGAUCUUAUGCGGUGUCGCAUUUAACAGUAUCGGAAGCCGCUUGGAGCGCUUGCCAGCGUUGUUAACUGCGCUUCUUCGCAGUCGAAAGUUGAAAAGUACUCUGAAGAGAGAGUAAAUAGUACGUGAAACCGAUUGCAGGGAAGCUGGUGGAGUCAAGCUUCAUGCUUGGAGAAUUCUCGCUCGGAGCCUUGUUUGUGCGUUGGGUUGCUGAGGCUCCAUCCAAGGCUAAAUACUGGCACGAGUCCGAUAGUAUGAACGGAGAUUAGCCCAGCGCCGAAGCCUAUCUGCAUUUGGCGUCUAUCUCCCACCUCUGGUGCUUUAUUCUCCGUGACAUACAUCACGG
RNAcentral lists this ribosomal RNA (440 nucleotides) under Chandacleidus lucknowensis. Its description in RNAcentral is "partial 28S ribosomal RNA". It matches the Rfam family "Eukaryotic large subunit ribosomal RNA", at positions 284 to 617 of the family's 3401-position model. The record is from RNAcentral. Lineage: Eukaryota; Metazoa; Platyhelminthes; Monogenea; Dactylogyridea; Ancylodiscoididae.